RNAcentral lists this ribosomal RNA (465 nucleotides) under uncultured bacterium. RNAcentral's name for it is "partial 16S ribosomal RNA". It matches the Rfam family "Bacterial small subunit ribosomal RNA", at positions 28 to 507 of the family's 1533-position model. The record is from RNAcentral.
GACGAACGCUGGCGGCGCGCUUAACACAUGCAAGUCGAACGGAAAGGCCCUGCUUGCAGGGUACUCGAGUGGCGAACGGGUGAGUAACACGUGGGUGAUCUGCCCUGCACUUCGGGAUAAGCCUGGGAAACUGGGUCUAAUACCGGAUAGGAGCCAUUUUUAUUGUGAUGGUUGGAAAGUUUUUUCGGUGUAGGAUGAGCUCGCGGCCUAUCAGCUUGUUGGUGGGGUAAUGGCCUACCAAGGCGGCGACGGGUAGCCGGCCUGAGAGGGUGGACGGCCACAUUGGGACUGGGAUACGGCCCAGACUCCUACGGGAGGCAGCAGUGGGGAAUAUUGCACAAUGGGCGCAAGCCUGAUGCAGCGACGCCGCGUGGGGGAUGACGGCCUUCGGGGUGUAAACUCCUUUCGCUAGGGACGAAGCUUUUUGUGACGGUACCUAGAGAAGAAGCACCGGCUAACUACGUG